UUAUGGUACACAGCGUGAGGGAGAGAGAAAGACAGAACGAUAGGGAGAGAGAGAAAGACAGAAUGUUACAGAAAAGAAAACAUGAGGGUGAAAGAAAGGGGACGGAAGAAGGAAAAGAGGGUGGCGACGAAGGUGGCGAUGACAGAUAAGGAGACGAGAUCGAGAGAGAAGAGGAGACAGAAAUGUAUUCUACAAGUUCGACAACACCUAUCAGGUCCCAUCUCACAGAUCCAUUUUAACUCUUCAAUCUUCAAGUAUUUCGUGCAAUUGGAAGUUUUCAUCUUCGGGGUAUGGAGAGUGUUGGUUCAGAACAGAUAAGAGGAAGGAGAAGCCAGUGGAGGAUGAGAACAAGAUCAAGUGCAAAAUGAAGACUAUGAAUUGCAAGUUCUAGAGAAAACUUAUGCUGCUGCAGAUACAUUUGGUUUAGACAGUUUUCAGGCUGUUGUUAUGAAACUUCAACGAAACCAUUUAGAUUUUCAUGCUAAAAAUAGAGUAGAGAAGACAAAAUGCUUAGUCCACAGGCCUUUUUUUUUUCCUGGAGGAUAUCAGCAGGUCAGGUUUCUCUUAUAUUAAAAAAAUUCCGUCUUCUACUUAUGCCAAUGUUUCAUUUUAAUCCACUGUGAAGUAUUCUCACUAUAUUUUUGCAGAUAGUGGUGUCAAUUUCCUUGGUGGGUAUAUUUAUAGAUCUAAGAAUAUGAACAUGUUUUGCUCAGGAAAUGGAAAAGAGAUUCAAGGCCUGUUUGCUGUUUCAUCUAAUUUUUUAUUUUUGAAGUUUUUAGAACUGGACUGCUAUAUCUAUAUAGUAGUAUUGCAAACUUGGAUGUAAUGAAAUACUUUAAAAGUUACAUAAUUCAACUAACUAUUUUGGUUUAUUUUUACUGCCAGUAGAGCUCUAAAAUCGCCAUGGUGGACUAUGGGCUGCAAAUAUUAGGUUCUGUUAAUAAUUCACAUGCUCAAAGAUGAGGGAGUGUAAGUAGAGGACGGAGUGUUCCAACACCAAAAGCAGAUCUCCGGAGGCUUGGCAAGGAUUGUUAUGAUGUUCUUAGAGGAGAAUAAGAAUGUUGCUGGUUUGACAACUAAGAUUAAGAAUCGAAAUGUUACAUCUUUGCUUAGCCAUGAUUGCAAUGUUCAAAGGAGGCACAAAAAGGUAUGAAAGUUUCCUGUUAUCACAUAAAAUUGCUAGGUAAAAGUAUUAUUUCUAAGGAAAUGCUUUCAUAGUAGUGUAUUUUAAUUCUCGGUGGGAAUAUUUGAGUAUGAUAUAAUAUAUAGCUUUAGUGCAUAUUAUCUAGGAUGCAGUUACUUUUGUUUUGACAUUAGCUUAUAACUGCUAUCUGCUUCAUAAAAAAUAUCAAACUAUUAUGUAUUGUCUUCUGAUAAAUUGGUGGCCUCUGCUUUUGCUGGGUUUACCCAUCACUCUUCGGUAAACAAAGCUCAAAGCUACAAGAAUGCACAUUUAUGUCAGAAAAAGCGGUCAAAUUAUCAGGCUGGCGUAGCAAAGAUGCUCGCCCUGGGAGAGGAACUGAGAAAUACCAAUUUAGAAAAGAUACCGAAUAUAGUAGGCCGAUUCUGCUGUUAGAAGAGUGUCUAGCGAAGGAAAGAGAAGAUGGUGACAAGUGCAAGGUAGAGUGGUUCGGAAGAAGAGGAGAGGAAAGAGAGGCCAGUGGAGGGUGAGAACAAGAUCAAGCACAAAAUGAAGACUGCUUUAUAGUUGGUUGCGUUGUAGAAAAACUUAUGCUGAUAAGUGAAUUUAUUUUACCAUUUUUGAACAAUACUGGAAUAUUCCUUUACUUUUGUUGGUUUUUUUUCACAGUUUAAGUGGGUUGUAAAGUAACUUUUUUGUUGAAACAUGAAACUCUAUUGUAGUGUUGUGCAUUUCUUUGGUUCAGGGGAGGCUUACUCUUCAGAAGUAGUGCAAGCUGAGUUUAUUUUGAGAGUA
Arachis duranensis is the source of this 1936-nucleotide long non-coding RNA. RefSeq lists it as uncharacterized. The transcript has 7 exons. The record is from RefSeq and is a predicted model, not a curated record. NCBI's taxonomy places the organism in Eukaryota, Viridiplantae, Streptophyta, Magnoliopsida, Fabales, Fabaceae.